AGUGAACGCUGGCGGUAGGCCUAACACAUGCAAGUCGAACGGCAGCACAGAGGAGCUUGCUCCUUGGGUGGCGAGUGGCGGACGGGUGAGGAAUACAUCGGAAGCUACUCUGUCGUGGGGGAUAACGUAGGGAAACUUACGCUAAUACCGCAUACGACCUACGGUUGAAAGCAGGGGACCUUCGGGCCUUGCGCGAUGGAAUGAGCCGAUGUCGGAUUAGCCAGUUGGCGGGGUAAAGGCCCACCAAGGCGACGAUCCGUAGCUGGUCUGAGAGGAUGAUCCGCCACACUGGAACUGAGACACGGUCCAGACUCCUACGGGAGGCAGCAGUGGGGAAUAUUGGACAAUGGGCGCAAGCCUGAUCCAGCCAUACCGCGUGGGUGAAGAAGGCCUUCGGGUUGUAAAGCCCUUUUGUUGGGAAAGAAAUCCAGCUGGCUAAUACCCGGUUGGGAUGACGGUACCCAAAGAAUAAGCACCGGCUAACUUCGUGCCAGCCGCCGCGGUAA
Molecule: ribosomal RNA, 506 nt
Filed under: uncultured bacterium
Lineage: Bacteria
Description: partial 16S ribosomal RNA
Rfam family: Bacterial small subunit ribosomal RNA
Source: RNAcentral